RNAcentral lists this ribosomal RNA (32 nucleotides) under Ochlerotatus cantator. Its description in RNAcentral is "partial 5.8S ribosomal RNA". The record is from RNAcentral. Lineage: Eukaryota; Metazoa; Arthropoda; Insecta; Diptera; Culicidae.
CGUACGAGGUACACAUUUUUGAGUGCCUAUAU